Triticum aestivum (bread wheat) is the source of this 125-nucleotide non-coding RNA. The record is from Rfam. Lineage: Eukaryota; Viridiplantae; Streptophyta; Magnoliopsida; Poales; Poaceae.
UAACUACAACCUCGGUACGGAAAUACUUGUCGGAGAAAUGGAGAAAAAUGGAUGUAUCUAGAACUAAAAUACGUCUAGAUACAUCAAUUUCUUCAACAAGUAUUUCCGGACGGAGGGAUUAUAUG